UCGCCGGCCUUGUUUGAGUUAUGCCUUCUUUGCGCGGUGUGGUGAUAGGCGACAGCCUGGUUAAAUUCAUGUGCAGGAGUCGCCUUCACUUGAAAACAUCCGUCGAGACCUGCGCAUUUAGUUUUGGUGGUUUUGACGCUGUGCGAAUGGCUGAGGCCGUCUCUGCGAUGCACUUUCAGCGCCUAGACUGUCGUUUUGUACGUUGGUGGUAACGACGUUUGCAGUGCCAACGCGGACCCUCAAGAUAUAUGCGACAAUAUAGGGAAGUUAGUUCUGCAACUGCAGCACGAUGUGGCCCCCGUGGUGUAUACGUCUUCAAAGUGCUGCCACGUUACUCCAGCUCUGAAGACGCCGAUGCGGAGCGCCAGAUCAAGAAAACGCGCUUGCUGAACCGCAAGCUGACGGCUACGCUGAAACGCCUGCCGUGUGUUCGAAUCUUGAACGCCGAGCAUGUUGGUCUUCAUUCGAGAGCUGUCUCACCUUUGGAUGUACAGAGGCAUCCACUUCCACCUUGAGCACCGCACCGUGCAGCCAACGCUCCGCGGAGCAUCUCUCGCGGGCGGCUGGGGCACGCAAGCGCAGUGACAACUGUAGGUGGUGCCUUCGCCGCGUCGUCUGCUAAAGCGCAGCGGCUCCGCCCAAUCGCGCUUGCUCUUCGAUGAAGCAUCGGUUUCUCAAUUCCUCGAAAGAGCCACGACGUGCGCCCUUAGCAAUUGAUGGGUACCAUGUGCACAGAGGCCAAGGGAUCGAUCAGCUGGCCAAAAUCGUCAGUUCUCUUGCUCGUGACUUCGGACCUGGAGUGAAGUCACAUGGACACAGCGAGCUGGGUAUCUGCUACAGGCUGCUGAAGUGCAGCCACUGCAACACAAAAGGCCGCGAAGUCCUGCGAGUGCAAGAUUGUGCCCCAGGGUCUUUCAAUUGAAAGUAAUACAUAUAGCAUGACCUUGCAUUAAUUAUCUUUCAUAAAUGCUAAUCACUACUCGAACAAAUCGAGAACGUUUCUGUAUUGCAGCAAAUAAAUGUAGAAAUUGCAUAUGUCAUCACACCUUUAUUGCCCAAAAAAUUGCAUUUAUUGCACAUUCAUCAAGCAAGUGACCUAUGCAGGACACUAUCUCUGCAAGCUCAGAUGUGCACGCGCAGGCCUUGCAUUUAUGGCUUUGCUAUCUUGGCAGCCCUCUGUUCUAUUGCUACCUGUGAAUGUGCCAAGCAGAUUGGUCUGAACGGCAUCACAAGUAGCUAAACACAUUUUAGAGCGCAAUGAACUGGGCUAGUUGGUACUACUUCAUUAUGCCACAGUGCGAGGAAAGAAGCCAAGGCACACAGUGCUGUGUCCCAGCUUUUUCCUCGUUCUGGGAGCACUGGAACAAUGAACAUUUGAGAACAUUCACUUGGAGCUCCUACCAUCACAUUUGGCUACAUGCUCCAAGCCCAGCUCGUCCAGACAUGAUUCAAGGCAUCACAGUUGUGUUCGCAUACAUCAUCUGUGUAGAGAACAAGUUAUUUUGAAUUGAAAAAUGGCCAUCCACCUGUUUUGUACAAGGCUACCAGGAAAUCCAUACUGAUUUCUCAGAAAGGAAGACAAAAAAUUCGUACUGUUCCUGGGCUCAAGCCUGGAACCAACACCUUUCCAGGGCUGUUUCUCUACAACUGAGAUAGCCAGUAGG
RNA transcript from Rhipicephalus sanguineus (brown dog tick), 1664 nucleotides. RefSeq lists it as uncharacterized. NCBI's taxonomy places the organism in Eukaryota, Metazoa, Arthropoda, Arachnida, Ixodida, Ixodidae. The transcript has 4 exons. The record is from RefSeq and is a predicted model, not a curated record.